RNAcentral lists this ribosomal RNA (447 nucleotides) under uncultured bacterium. Its description in RNAcentral is "partial 16S ribosomal RNA". It matches the Rfam family "Bacterial small subunit ribosomal RNA", at positions 29 to 523 of the family's 1533-position model. The record is from RNAcentral.
AACGAACGCUGGCGGCAGGCUUAACACAUGCAAGUCGAACGCCCCGCAAGGGGAGUGGCAGACGGGUGAGUAACGCGUGGGAACAUACCCUUUCCUGCGGAAUAGCUCCGGGAAACUGGAUUUAAUACCGCAUGCGCCCUACCGGGGAAAGAUUUAUCGGGGAAGGAUUGGCCCGCGUUGGAUUAGCUAGUUGGUGGGGUAAAGGCCUACCAAGGCGACGAUCCAUAGCCGGUCUGAGAGGAUGAUCAGCCACAUUGGGACUGAGACACGGCCCAAACUCCUACGGGAGGCAGCAGUGGGGAAUAUUGGACAAUGGGCGCAAGCCUGAUCCAGCCAUGCCGCGUGAGUGAUGAAGGCCUUAGGGUUGUAAAGCUCUUUCACCGGAGAAGAUAAUGACGGUAUCCGGAGAAGAAGCCCCGGCUAACUUCGUGCCAGCCGCCGCAGUAA